This is a non-coding RNA of Pelobates cultripes (western spadefoot toad), 242 nucleotides long. NCBI's taxonomy places the organism in Eukaryota, Metazoa, Chordata, Amphibia, Anura, Pelobatidae. The record is from the annotation of a GenBank genome assembly.
CUUUUAUAAUGUAUGCCAGUCCAUCAAUGGACAAAUUGAAGACUAAGAACCCACAAUAGAAUCCCAAGAGAACUCCACUUACCACUUUUGUCUAAUAAUUUUCCAAAAAUAAUAAUUCUCAGCAUUCUACCUUUUGGUUUUCUGUCCAAGUAUACAUCAUCCACUGCAGUAACUUGAGACUACCUUACUCACGUCUUUAUAGAAUGCCGUUAAAAACUUCGACAUUGUUUGUCCUUUAUAAG